Molecule: long non-coding RNA, 3445 nt
Organism: Triticum aestivum (bread wheat)
Lineage: Eukaryota; Viridiplantae; Streptophyta; Magnoliopsida; Poales; Poaceae
Exons: 6
Source: RefSeq, a predicted model, not a curated record
AACCGGCGAUAAAAAUCCAGAACCAAUCGCCCGCACGUAGCGCUAGGUCUCCUGCCCUCGAACGAGAAACACUCGCACGCACGAAUCUCUGCUCUCGUUCGCCCGCCGCCGCCCUUCGUCCCUUCGCCGAACCCUAGAAGCGGAGGAGCGGUGGCGGUGGUGAACCCUAGAAGCGGAGGAGCGGUGGCGGUGGUGAACCCUAGAACCCUAGAACCCUAGAAGCGGAGGGAUCGGGGGAGGAGAUGGGGGGCGGGCAGCGCCGGGAGCCGGGGAGGAGGUGGGGGGCUGAAGCUCCCACCAUUCAUCCCCACCUCAGGAGGGCCUCGUUGGAUGUGGUAGCGGCCGACCGGCCGUACUCGUCGGAUGCCUCGAUGGGGGCGUCUCCGCUUCCUAGAUCCGGGUCGGAGACUCUGACGCAGAGGCCCGCAAGGGAGAAGCAGAGGGUGGAGGAGGAGCGGAGUCCAUGGAGGAAAGCAGGCGACGGCUACAGGUAGGCGCUCAGCUUGCCCUACUGUGUAGUUCAGUGCGUCACCGUAGGGACAGGAGCACCGCCACCGUCUCCAGGUACGUCCUCGACCAGGUCGUGCUCGGGCUGCCCUCGGGCAUGCCCAUGCCAUAGAUCAGGUCAUGAUCUCAUGGUUGAAUGCCUUCCGAGGUCUCCCUGAAGUCUGAUCUGAUGCCCUUGUUGAACCCAUCCCUUACUCUCCGCCAGCUGGGUCUCAUUCGAUGUUGAUGCUUGCUACCAUAGUGUGCUUCAGGAGAUCAACAGCAUGCUGAGAUGGAAGCAACUAAAAGCAUCAGUUUUGCCAUUACACGACGACAUGCAAAAGUAGCACGUCAUCAAUCACACCUGACAACACAUACAAAAUCCAUUAAUUUGCAAUUCUUCAGUUGACGCACUUGAACAAAAGCAUCAGUUUUCUACAUUGUGACGAUCACAAGCAUCUAAUUAUGCUUCUCAAAGUUUGUAAUCAUGUGAUGCAUCCUUGAAAUCAGUUUGUUCUCCACCAUUGAGUAUCAUACUCCUUCCAUCCCAAAAUAAGUGUCUUAACCUUAGUAUAAUUUUAUACUAAACUUGGUACAAAGUUGAGACAUUUAUUUUGAGACGGAGGGAGUACAUGAUACAUCAAUGUGUUAGGUAUAAAUUGCCUGCACUAAAACAUGUACGGCAACCAAACUGCCACAUUCAUUCAGUACAACUCAUCCUGCUUCAGCAUCGAAGUUUUGAGGGGCCAUGAGAGCAGAGGUAGCCAAGUCGUCGUCACAUUAAGGCAGAGUGAGGACGUAAUUAGCUCAUUAGGAGGAGUUCAAUUGUUUCCCCAAAUUUCCUUCCACGAUUUUGUAACCCUUUGCAGAAUUGCAUGGGGAGGUUCGUAACAUUGUCUACUCAUCUGAUAGGAAAUCAGUAUCUAUUGUCUAUCAUGUGACUAUGGAACUGAUGCAGAGUACCCUUCUUUGCAUGGGAGUUAUAUGUGGUUCAGUUUGCAGAAUCUUGUUUGGUUUUACAUUGAUCUUGCAUGCUCAGUUUUUGGGCGUAUAACCAGUUUGUAGGUCCUACUAUUUGAUCUGUGGACGUGACCAGUGAGGGCAUGGAGAUUAUGGCGAGGCAUGGUGAUGCGGUGGCAGUGGUGAAGGUAACCACAUCGAAGGCAGCGGCAAUGGGUGGUUGUCGAUGAAAGCAGCAUGGGGAUGGGGGAGGUGGAGAGGCGAGGGAUGGAGGCGGAGGACGGCAGCCAGGGAGACGGAGUGGCAGUGAGAUUGGACGAGCUCGCUUGCGGAGUGCGUGGGCAAGAUUUCCUUUCCGGGUUGGACGAGGGCUUCUUUGUUUGUGUGUGUGUGCAUGUGUGAGUUCACACCGAUACUCGACCAAAUACUGUGCAUGGUUAUCUGAAAUUCUAGACAAUAGUUCACAUCCCAGUGGCAGAAGUUGAUGCUCCAUCUUGUUAUUCAUUUCCUGGGAUCAUUUCUCGAGGAAUGUAUGGAUUUCUCGAAGUGACGCAAUGCUAUGAUCUUCAAUCAUGAAAAUGAAACUGUCAGUGCUGAUGGCCUGCUCCUGUGAUCUCAUAGCAUUGUGUCAAGGAGCAGGUGGAGAGGGAGAAAGAGAAAGGGAGAAUGGAAGCCAAGUGAUAGACAAAGAGAGUGAAAGCUUCUGUUGAACUCUCAUGGUUGGAGAUACUGCAAGAAUUCUGAUUCGGCACGGCCCUCAUGGAGACAAUGGAGAUGGUGUUCAGUGGUGCGCUCAGCCAGAGUUCGUCGUACGUCCGACAUUUGCUGAUUCGGCAGGGCCCUCAUGGAAACAAAUCCAUGAAAGACGCAUUGGAGCACCAGGUCAAGAGCAAGGCCUUUUUCAAGAUACUAACCUAAAUGCUGAAAUACUUCGUUGUUGCCACUUUUAGUGUAGCUGUACUGAUGCAGAUAAGCUAAAAAUCUCUCUUGCCUUCUCUUUGAUGCCCUGAUGACUUGUGUGCUUAAUUAUUAAGUAAAUUACAUUAUGGCGCAUGUUAUUUCCCAUGUCGCCAUAGGGCAUUGUUCUUUUGGGACAUGCAUAGGGGUGCUUUGUACCGGUACGUAACUUCAUGCUGAAAACAAGAGCAACGUGUUUUCUUUGUAGGUCAGAAUUAUUAACAAGAUAUGAAGAAUUAACCUGUUAAUUUCUUUGCAAAGGAAUUGGCCAGUUAGUAUUUUACUAAAUAACUAUGGACUAGCUACUAUUUUUACAAUGGGUUGCUUAUUAGACUAGGGACGUGUGAUAUCUUUCUCCCGUUGCAAAGCUAAACCACGUCAUGUCAUCUUUGUAGUUUACAUAUUUUUUAGAUGUGUUGGCACACAUUUUGAGGCAUCAUUUUCUUUCAAGUCGUUCAUCAUCAUUGGUCCCAUUCUGCACAAGACUAUCGAUGAUACCACUCUGCAUUGGACCUACACAAUCAUCAAUUUUACCAAUGUCACAAAUGUUCAGGGCGCAGAGAAACUAAUGGAGCAACCAGGAGUCCAAUCAUUUUAAGGCAGAACAUUGAACAUAUCAGUGAUCGGACACUCGAGACAACUCUUAAUGAGUUCUAGCAACCGAAGACAGAAUAUUUGUGUAGGAUGCAACAAAGUUGCAUGUCAUGAGAUUAUUGAAUACGUUGAGUAAUUUGGAAUGGAAACAUUUUUGGUUAAAUAGGAUGCUCUUGAGAUUAUUUCUCAUGCCAACAUGGCAUGCCCGAGCUAAAAAUGUGCCACCCUUUGACAGGACCAUGCCUUGUUAGAGGAGGUUUCUGGUUGGAUAAAUGAGAAGGCCAUGAUGCCUAUUUGGGCUAAGAUGACUCCUAACAUUGCAGGUAUUACAGAUGGAACUUAAGCUUCCAUAAUGCAUUUGUUGAGUAAUUAGCAGUCACAUAUCUUCUGUGUUUUUAAUUGCUAUACGGUGUCAACAAAUGAUGAGGUUCUAAAUUAUUAUUUUUAU